GUGUGUGUGUGUGUGUGUUUUUUUCGUUUUAGGAGGACAAUUUUCAAGACAAAUCAAAGAGCUAUGAGGACCCUCUGUUACAGGAGGACAUUUUGCUGUCCUCAUAAAAUUGACCUUUUAAAACCGUUUCUGGGCAUGUUUUAAUACCCAAAAAGUGUUUUUCUCAAAAGUCUUUGUAAACCAAAAACUUGACAUAUGUUGUAUAUUUGUGUGUCCGCCACUGCCCCCUGUCGGUUGGAGUUGUCCCCGCAUGCCGCACACACAAGCGCGGGAAAUUAUACACGAGCGCGGGACAUUAUACACAUGGCGCGAAAUUGGAAGCUGCGCAUGCGCAUUUUAGCAUUACCCAUUUGGACCGUGGAUAUUUACAUCAAUGAUUUAGACUGACUGAUUGGGCGCUUCUUAUUCAUCCUUCAAUUUUGGCAGAGUUUUGACACGGAGAAAAGGUAAGAAGGUAAUUAUAAAACUUUUAAAAGACGGACGUUCUGACAGACACAGUGCUUCAGAGUAGGCACAGCCGUGGUGAGGCGGCAGGUGAGGGAACGAACGACGAGGUACGGUGGAAAGCAUACGGCGGAAAGCAUACGGCGGAGAGCGCACCGCGGGGACCGGAUCACGACGAGGUGAGGACGGCGGAGCGGGCCGGAGCACGCGGAACGGUUCACGGAGGUCACAGCAACACGCGGGGCGGGGAUUCCCGGACUGUCCCAAGCACCGGGAUCGUUUUUUUUUUACCCUGGCCUAAUCUCAUCACUUGUUUCAAGGAAAUCAUGUCACGGAGAACCACUCCCCUUCAGGAUGCCAUUAAUCACAUCCUUGCAAGAAGAGACAAGAAUUCAAUGUUAGAAAUCAAAGUUAUUAAUUCAGUUAAAGGUCGUGGCAUCUUCACUUUAGCCAAUUUCAAACAAGGAGACUUUGUGGUCGAGUAUAGAGGGGAGCUUAUUGAUGCAACUGAAGCUGAACACAGACGUAACCUGUACCCCAGCGCAUGUUCAGUCUUCAUGUUUGAAUUCAUAUGGAAGCAGAAGACAUUGUGUAUUGAUGGAGCACUUGAAGAUGGGUCAUUUGGGCGACUAGUAAACGAUGAACACAGGACACCAAAUUGCAGAAUGAAGUUGAUUGAAGCAGAAGGGAAGCCACAUCUCUGCCUUUUUGCACUGAAGGAAAUUGCGGCAGGAAGUGAAAUUACCUAUGACUAUGGUGGGAAAGAAUGGCCCUGGCGGAAAAAGCUAAAGAUCGCAAGCAUCCCUUCUGGUCAACAGUGUGUUGCAGAGCCUAUUGCCCAUGACGUGGAGCACCAUGUGAUCUCUACAGACUCAUUCACAGACAGAGAAUUAAGAGCAGAGUGUCAGUCAUCUAGACCUACAGCAGACAACUCUGAGCAUGAGGUGCAUUCUGUUGGAGGUCAGUGUGGCACUUCUUCUCUGAAAGAGUUAAUUGGUGAAGUUGGUGUCCAGUAUCAGGAGUUGUCACCCCAAGCGUUCUCAGAAGAACUUACCAGUGAGAGCAAAUCGAAAGAGGUGCCACAAUCAUCCAGAGCUGUGCCUAAUGACUCUGCUUGUGAGUGUACAAUUCAUAGGCUGGUAUUUGAAUCGGUGAAACUUGACAAAUGCGGGAUAUGCCAUUCACCUUUGACAGCUAUCAGAUGGCACGGUCUAAGAUGCAAGCGGGACAGGACCACUGCACUGUAUUAAGGAGAAGAUAAACGGGGACAUGGAUUGUGAGAUUUUGGGCCAAAACGUCCUUCCCUCAGUCAGAGCAUUGAAGAUGGGUUCUGGCUGGGUCUUUCAACAAGACAAAGACCUGAAGCACUCAGCCAGGAAAACCAAGGAGUGGCUCCGUAAGAGGCAUUUCAAGGUUCUGGAGUGGCCUCACUAGUCUCCAGACCUCAGUCCAAUAGAAAAUCUGUGGAUGGAGUUAAAAGUCUGUGUUGGCCCAAAACAUGACAGAUCUACAGAAGAUCUGUGUGGAGGAGUGGGUCAAAAGACCUUCUGCAAUGUGUGCAAACCUGGUGAAGAACUACAGGAACUGUUUGGCCGCUGUAAUUGUUAACAAAGGCAAUAUUAAUAUAGUUUGACUCAAGUGUUCAAAUACUUAUUUUACAAAGAAAUAUACAAAAAACUUGUUAUAAAAUCAUACAAUGUGA
Long non-coding RNA from Oreochromis niloticus (Nile tilapia), 2146 nucleotides. RefSeq lists it as uncharacterized. The record is from RefSeq and is a predicted model, not a curated record. Lineage: Eukaryota; Metazoa; Chordata; Actinopteri; Cichliformes; Cichlidae. The transcript is spliced from 10 exons.